GACGAACGCUGGCGGCGUGCCUAAUACAUGCAAGUUGAGCGCUGAAUGUUGGUACUUGUACCAACUGGCUGAGCAGCGAACGGGUUUUUAACGCGUGGGGAAUCUGCCUUUGAGCGGUGGAUAACAUUUGGAAACGAAUGCUAAUACCGCAUAAAACCUUUACACAUAAGUUUUAAGUUUUAAAGCCGCAAUUGCAUCACUUAAAGAUGAUCUCGCGUUAUAUUAGUUAGGUGGUGAGGUAAAGGCUCACCAAGGCGAUGAAACAUAGCCGACCUGAGAGGGUGAUCGGCCACAAUGGGACUGGAACAAGGCCCAAGAUCCUAAGGGGAGCAGCAGUAGGGGAUCUUCGGCAAUGGACGGAAGGCUGGCCGGGCAAAGCCGGGUGGGUGAAGGAGGUUUUCGGGUCGUAAAACUCUGUUGGUAGAGAAGAAAGUUAGUGGGAGUGGAAAGCUCAGCAAGUGACGGUAACUAACCAGAAAGGGACGGCUAACUACGUG
This 497-nucleotide ribosomal RNA is filed under the name uncultured bacterium. RNAcentral's name for it is "partial 16S ribosomal RNA". It matches the Rfam family "Bacterial small subunit ribosomal RNA", at positions 28 to 507 of the family's 1533-position model. The record is from RNAcentral.